RNAcentral lists this ribosomal RNA (1365 nucleotides) under uncultured bacterium. RNAcentral's name for it is "bacterial SSU rRNA". It matches the Rfam family "Bacterial small subunit ribosomal RNA", at positions 28 to 1381 of the family's 1533-position model. The record is from RNAcentral.
GAUGAACGCUGGCGGCGUGCCUAACACAUGCAAGUCGAGCGCGGUUGUGCUUAGUAUUGAGUGUUUUAUUGAUAUAAAACAUUGAAUUCUAUGCACAACUGAGCGGCGGACGGGUGAGUAACGCGUGGGUAACCUGCCCUAUACACAUGGAUAACAUACUGAAAAGUUUACUAAUACAUGAUAAAAUAGUUUUUCGGCAUCGAAGAAUUAUCAAAGUGUUAGCGGUAUAGGAUGGACCCGCGUCUGAUUAGCUAGUUGGUGAGAUAACUGCCCACCAAGGCAACGAUCAGUAGCCGACCUGAGAGGGUGAUCGGCCACAUUGGAACUGAGACACGGUCCAAACUCCUACGGGAGGCAGCAGUGGGGAAUAUUGCACAAUGGGCGCAAGCCUGAUGCAGCAACGCCGCGUGAACGAUGAAGGUCUUCGGAUCGUAAAGUUCUGUUGCAGGGGAAGAUAAUGACGGUACCCUGUGAGGAAGCCCCGGCUAACUACGUGCCAGCAGCCGCGGUAAUACGUAGGGGGCUAGCGUUAUCCGGAUUUACUGGGCGUAAAGGGUGCGUAGGUGGUCUUUCAGUCGGUGGUUAAAGGCUACGGCUCAACCGUAGUAAGCCUCCGAAACUGUUAGACUUGAGUGCAGGAGAGGAAAGUGGAAUUCCCAGUGUAGCGGUGAAAUGCGUAGAUAUUGGGAGGAACACCAGUAGCGAAGGCGGCUUUCUGGACUGCAACUGACACUGAGGCACGAAAGCGUGGGUAGCAAACAGGAUUAGAUACCCUGGUAGUCCACGCCGUAAACGAUGAGUACUAGGUGUCGGGGGUUACCCCCCUCGGUGCCGCAGCUAACGCAUUAAGUACUCCGCCUGGGGAGUACGCACGCAAGUGUGAAACUCAAAGGAAUUGACGGGGACCCGCACAAGUAGCGGAGCAUGUGGUUUAAUUCGAAGCAACGCGAAGAACCUUACCUAAGCUUGACAUCCCUCGGACCGGUGUUUAAUCACACCUUUCCUUCGGGACUGAGGAGACAGGUGGUGCAUGGUUGUCGUCAGCUCGUGUCGUGAGAUGUUGGGUUAAGUCCCGCAACGAGCGCAACCCUUGUCUUUAGUUGCCAUCAUUAAGUUGGGCACUCUAGAGAGACUGCCAGGGACAACCUGGAGGAAGGUGGGGAUGACGUCAAAUCAUCAUGCCCCUUAUGCUUAGGGCUACACACGUGCUACAAUGGGUGGUACAGAGGGUUGCCAAACCGUGAGGUGGAGCCAAUCCCUUAAAGCCACUCUCAGUUCGGAUUGUAGGCUGAAACUCGCCUACAUGAAGCUGGAGUUACUAGUAAUCGCAGAUCAGAAUGCUGCGGUGAAUGCGUUCCCGGGUCU